CUCCCCGUACCUCAGCUGGAGAGAGGGCCCGGUCGCGAGCCGGGACGUCGGACGUUCGAGUCGUCCUGGGGAGACCA
Molecule: transfer RNA, 77 nt
Filed under: Aeromicrobium sp. Leaf291
Lineage: Bacteria; Bacillati; Actinomycetota; Actinomycetes; Propionibacteriales; Nocardioidaceae
Description: tRNA-OTHER
Source: RNAcentral